AUACGGAUGGUGCGAGCGUUGUUCGGAAUUACUGGGCGUAAAGGGCGCGUAGGCGGCGAUGUAAGUCAAAUGUGAAAGUCCUCGGCUUAACCGGGGAAGUGCAUCUGAAACUGCAUUGCUUGAGUAUGGGAGAGGAAAGUGGAAUUCCCGGUGUAGAGGUGAAAUUCGUAGAGAUUGGGAGGAAUACCGGUGGCGAAGGCAACUUUCUGGACCAAUACUGACGCUGAGGCGCGAAAGCGUGGGGAGCAAACAGGAUUAGAUACCCUAGUAGUCC
This 274-nucleotide ribosomal RNA is filed under the name uncultured bacterium. Its description in RNAcentral is "partial 16S ribosomal RNA". It matches the Rfam family "Bacterial small subunit ribosomal RNA", at positions 523 to 796 of the family's 1533-position model. The record is from RNAcentral.